AAAUUGAGGCCCAGAAAGAAGCCACCCCUACCCCCAGGUCACAGUCUAGUUACUGGGUGAGCUGGGCUGGGACCCAGGUGUCCUGACUCCCGCCCUGCGUUCUCCCAUGCUCCAUUGUUCUCUUGGGAGACCUCAUGGCAAGCCCAGGCCCCACCACGGAGACCCCUCUGUGAAGGACUGCCCCUUACCCUUUCUCCCUUCCCCAGGACAGAGUCUGUGGCUGAAAAGAUGCUGACCAAUUGGUUCGCCUUCCUCCUGCACAAGUUCCUAAAGGAGUGCGCGGGGGAGCCACUCUUCAUGCUAUACUGUGCCAUCAAGCAGCAGAUGGAGAAGGGCCCCAUUGAUGCCAUCACGGGCGAGGCCCGCUACUCCCUGAGCGAGGACAAGCUCAUCCGGCAGCAGAUCGAGUACAAGACCCUGAUCCUGAACUGCGUCAACCCUGACAACGAGAACAGUCCAGAGAUCCCAGUGAAGGUGUUAAACUGUGACACCAUCACA
Molecule: small RNA, 498 nt
Filed under: Pan troglodytes (chimpanzee)
Lineage: Eukaryota; Metazoa; Chordata; Mammalia; Primates; Hominidae
Description: processed transcript
Source: RNAcentral